Molecule: long non-coding RNA, 492 nt
Organism: Ornithodoros turicata
Lineage: Eukaryota; Metazoa; Arthropoda; Arachnida; Ixodida; Argasidae
Exons: 3
Source: RefSeq, a predicted model, not a curated record
UUGCGAUCGGUCUUGGGGCUGCCCCAUACAGGGUGAUGAGCGUUUAUGUCGCCAAUUACCAGAAAAGGCGGACCUAAGUCGUCGAAGACAGACAUCAGGUCAGUCUUUGAAACCGGUACCGAUGGUGGUAUGUAGAGACUAACAACGGUAAGAGUGAUCUUGCCGAAACGAACUUUACACUUUACGCAGUCAAAAGGCAGACACUGUGACAUUGGCACAACUGCAGACACGAGGUCCAGGCGGACAAACAAGACACUCCUAUAAAUGUCCGCGUCGCCCUGAGUAACCAUAGCAUACCCGCUUAUGCUAAAGUCCUUCUUGACCUGCAGGCAGCUCGACAGGGUCAAGCGCAAGUGAAGGACCAGGUGCUGCUGAUCCAAGUCCCAUCCAUCCAUGAAACGGCAUCAAACAAUGUACGUGUGUGCACGGCAAUUUUGCUGAGAGACCUGGUUUUUACACUAAUGCCUUUACGACGCCUCUGGCAAAUUAGGA